CAAGUGACUGAAAUAAGCUUCCUUCAUAGGGUGACUGGAUGCUCCCUUAGAGAUAGAGUGAGGAGCUCAGUCACCAAGGAGGAGCUUAGGGAUAGG
This is a long non-coding RNA of Salarias fasciatus (jewelled blenny), 96 nucleotides long. RefSeq lists it as uncharacterized. The record is from RefSeq and is a predicted model, not a curated record. Lineage: Eukaryota; Metazoa; Chordata; Actinopteri; Blenniiformes; Blenniidae. The transcript is spliced from 3 exons.